GACUAGCAGGAUUCCCCUAGUAACUGCGAGUGAAGCGGGAAAAGCUCAAAUUUAAAAUCUGGUGGCCCUUCCGCCACCCGAGUUGUAAUUUAGAGAAGCGUCUUCCGCGCUGGACCAUGCAUAAGUCUCCUGGAAUGGAGCGUCAUAGAGGGUGAGAAUCCCGUCUUUGGCAUGGACCCCCAGGGCUUCUGCGAUGCGCUCUCGAAGAGUCGAGUUGUUUGGGAAUGCAGCUCAAAAUGGGUGGUGAACUCCAUCUAAAGCUAAAUAUUGGCGAGAGACCGAUAGCGAACAAGUACCGUGAGGGAAAGAUGAAAAGCACUUUGGAAAGAGAGUGAAACAGUACGUGAAAUUGUUGAAAGGGAAACGCUUGAAGUCAGUCGCGUCGACCGAGACUCAGCCUUGCCUCGGCUUGGUGUACUUCUCGGCUGACGGGUCAGCAUCGAUUUUGACCCUUGGAUAAUGGUGGGGGGAAAGGUGGCACCUUUACAGGUGUGUUAUAGUCCUCUAUCGGAUGUGGGGGUCGGGAUCGAGGAACUCAGCAUGCGCCUCUCGGCGUCGGGGCCUUGGCCCACGUUACAUGCUUAGGAUGCUGGCGUAAUGGCUUUAAACGACCCGUCUUGAAACACGGACCAAGGAGUCUAACAUACCCGCGAGUGUUCGGGUGGAAAACUCGUGCGCGCAAUGAAAGUAAAAGUUGGGACCUCUGUCGUGGAGGGCACCGACGCCCGGACCAGACCUUCUGUGACGGCUCUGCGGUAGAGCGUGUAUGUUGGGACCCGAAAGAUGGUGAACUAUGCCUGAAUAGGGUGAAGCCAGAGGAAACUCUGGUGGAGGCUCGUAGCGAUUCUGACGUGCAGAUCGAUCGUCAAAUUUGGGUAUAGGGGGCGAAAGACUAAUCGAACCAUCUAAGAAACUGGUUCCUGCCGAAGUUUUCCCUCGAG
This 941-nucleotide ribosomal RNA is filed under the name Russula dinghuensis. Its description in RNAcentral is "partial large subunit ribosomal RNA". It matches the Rfam family "Eukaryotic large subunit ribosomal RNA", at positions 56 to 978 of the family's 3401-position model. The record is from RNAcentral. Lineage: Eukaryota; Fungi; Basidiomycota; Agaricomycetes; Russulales; Russulaceae.